Acanthosepion pharaonis is the source of this 106-nucleotide non-coding RNA. The record is from the annotation of a GenBank genome assembly. NCBI's taxonomy places the organism in Eukaryota, Metazoa, Mollusca, Cephalopoda, Sepiida, Sepiidae.
UAUGACCAUAUCAUGCUGAAACACUAGUUCUCAUACGAUCACUGAAAUUAAGCAAUGUUGAGCCUGGCCAGUACCUAGAUGAGUGACUAUUUUGGAGUACCUGGUG